GUUUCUUUCUCUUUCUAGUUUAUCUCUAACCCUAACUCACAGCGGCGGCCUUCCCUCUCCAUCAUCGGAUCCCUCUCUUUAUCUGUGCAAAAGAUCGAUUGCUGAAUCACUCUCUCUAUGUCACUCUUUCUAUGCAACAAGGACAUCGAUGAGAGCUCAGGUACCGAUCUAUUUAAUGUUAAUGAUGUAUGGUCCUACGCUAGAACUUAUUGCACAGGUCACUGAAAGGAAAAUAGUUGUAAGAGAUGCAAACAGGUUCCAUUGUUUUGAAAGGGGAAUAUGUUCUUGUGGGGAUUACUGGUGACAAUGUUAAGAAUAGCAAAGAGGCCAGGCAGGUGUCUAUUGAGUAGCCAUUGAACUUA
Papaver somniferum (opium poppy) is the source of this 362-nucleotide long non-coding RNA. RefSeq lists it as uncharacterized. The record is from RefSeq and is a predicted model, not a curated record. The transcript is spliced from 3 exons. NCBI's taxonomy places the organism in Eukaryota, Viridiplantae, Streptophyta, Magnoliopsida, Ranunculales, Papaveraceae.